AUUUAAGCAGGUUGUUAAGCUUAUUCCUUCCAAUCGGACCACGUAGAAACCAUUGAUCCUUGACAGCAGGUGUUCUGGUGUGUGUGACCACAGCCAAGUAAAAUGGGUCUUCAUCUCCUAAAGAAGAAAUACUGACAGUGGGCAUCUGUCAGUUCCUGUUGCGUACAUUCUUGGCUUUUGACGGCGGAUGUUGGACGGAUCAAUACCAGUGCGAGUUUUUGUCUGGCGUUCAUUAUACUCAAGGUACUCUGUUCCAGUGGCACUGUCAAAUCCAAGCUUUACAUCACCCCACAUCAGUUGCCUGGAUAAAUUGGUUGUUUCAGGGCGAAUGUGGACUAAGUGUAUAUUCACUAUAAACAUCCAGAUACCUACCGGUCAAGACUGCUGAUCAUGCCUCGGAUUGUAGAUGGCUCAUACUCUUCACCAUUUUU
Molecule: long non-coding RNA, 431 nt
Organism: Mercenaria mercenaria
Lineage: Eukaryota; Metazoa; Mollusca; Bivalvia; Venerida; Veneridae
Exons: 3
Source: RefSeq, a predicted model, not a curated record